GCCACUAAAGCACAGUGUAUUGUCAGAGUAGAUGCUUUGAUGUCAAUAGGCCAAAGGCCAACUUCUUUGUGUUUGUGUAUCUGAUAGAUUUGGCUGAAUCACAGAUACAGACGCUAAGCAGUGCCAUUGCUGCAGUUCUUCCAGACCUUCCUCAAGCAGUUCUUACUUCAGUGGAAGAUACAUUGAAGGGAUUUAGUGCAGAGACCCUAGAUGAUCUGCAGUUCAUUACAGAAGGAGACUUGCUACCGGUGUUGAAGCCAAUCCAAGCCAGAAGACUUGUUGUUGCCUGGGCCCAGAACAUUUCAGACUGAGCGGGGCCAUUUGGAUGGUUGCUCACAAGACAUCGUAGAGAUGGUACUUCUUUUACUGGCUCAUUUUGGUGAGAAGGAGGAGAACCUGCUCCAAUACGUUGAGGAGACAUGCCCAAGAGGUUUCACUUGGAGAAGUUGCCACCCUGCAUAUUUGUGUGUGGGCCCUGUUGCUUUUCUGCUGAGACAUUCAUAUUGAGCAUUGACCAAAAGGUUGUCAACGACCACAUCACUUCCUUCACCUCUGCCCUCAGCCUGAUGUUUGUGAGUUUCUACUGCUUCAACAUACACUACCCAGUGGAACUACGAUCAACACUAGAGUUUCUCCAAAGUCAUGUGAGCAGAGGAGGAGGAGGUGGGUGGUAUCGUCCUCUCCUCAGUCAUCCCUGUUUGAAUUCCCUCCUCAGCUUGUCGGUGGGAGAACAUUUUCUGUGGACACAUCACACAGCCCACCCACCCCUUCAUACACUCUCCGAUCAAGUGAGGAUAACUUGCAGUAAUUAGAUCCCCAUAGUAAUGUCAGGAUUACAGAUACCAGAUCUACCACUCACCGUUGCCCUAAUAAAAAGCAAACAUAAAGCUGCUUAAUGAAGAAUAAAUAGAAUAUUUAGAGUUGCACUACAAGUAAGCAGCAGUGUAUGAGAGUUAUGGCCUACUAUGAAGUUUGAUCUGCUUACUGUUUAACACACCAGACACACAGUACACCCCCACCUGCAGUGAAUUAUUUGCAGUAUUUGGUGUUUUUCUAUUUCUCUGUAGUGUUGUAAAACAGCAGAGGAAGCUCUGAUGUUAUAAUAAAGGAUAUUAAACAUUG
This is a long non-coding RNA of Dicentrarchus labrax (European seabass), 1122 nucleotides long. RefSeq lists it as uncharacterized. The record is from RefSeq and is a predicted model, not a curated record. NCBI's taxonomy places the organism in Eukaryota, Metazoa, Chordata, Actinopteri, Moronidae. The transcript is spliced from 4 exons.